CAGCCAGGGAUGCCCUCAGUAGCGGCGAGUGAAGCGGCAAGAGCUCAGAUUUGAAAUCGUGCUUUGCGGCACGAGUUGUAGAUUGCAGGUUGGAGUCUGUGUGGAAGGCGGUGUCCAAGUCCCUUGGAACAGGGCGCCCAGGAGGGUGAGAGCCCCGUGGGAUGCCGGCGGAAGCAGUGAGGCCCUUCUGACGAGUCGAGUUGUUUGGGAAU
RNAcentral lists this ribosomal RNA (212 nucleotides) under Pichia kudriavzevii. Its description in RNAcentral is "partial 26S ribosomal RNA". It matches the Rfam family "Eukaryotic large subunit ribosomal RNA", at positions 65 to 281 of the family's 3401-position model. The record is from RNAcentral. Lineage: Eukaryota; Fungi; Ascomycota; Pichiomycetes; Pichiales; Pichiaceae.